GUGCUCGCUUCAGCAGCACAUGUGCUGAAACUGGAACAAUACCGAGAAGAUCAGCGUGGCUCCUGCUCAAGGAUGAUGUGCAAAUGCGUGAAGCAUUCCAUAAUUUU
This is a small nuclear RNA of Jaculus jaculus (lesser Egyptian jerboa), 107 nucleotides long. The record is from Ensembl. NCBI's taxonomy places the organism in Eukaryota, Metazoa, Chordata, Mammalia, Rodentia, Dipodidae.